GACGAACGCUGGCGGCGGGCUUAACACAUGCAAGUCGAACGGAAAGGCCCUGCUUUUGGGGGGGGCUCGAGUGGCGAAAGGGUGAGUAACACUGGAGUAACCUGCCCGGGACUUUGGGAUAACUUCAGGUAACUGGGGCUAAGAACGGAUAGGAGCCCCUGCGCCAUGGUGGAGGUUGGAAAGUUUAGGCGGUUGGGGAUGGACUCGUGGCUUAUGGGCUGGUUGGUGGGGUAGCGGCUUACCAAGGCUUUGACGGGUAGCCGGCCUGAGAGGGUGACCGGCCAACUUGGGACUGAGCUACGGGCGGGAGUACUACGGGAGGCAGCAGUGGGGAAUAUUGCACAAUGGGGGGAAGCCUGAUGCAGCAACGCGGCGUGCGGGAUGACGGACUUCGGGUUGAAGAGCGCUUUAGGCUGUAACGAAGCGUGAGUGACGGUAAUGGGUAAAGAAGCACCGGCUAACUCCGUG
RNAcentral lists this ribosomal RNA (468 nucleotides) under uncultured bacterium. RNAcentral describes it as "partial 16S ribosomal RNA". It matches the Rfam family "Bacterial small subunit ribosomal RNA", at positions 28 to 507 of the family's 1533-position model. The record is from RNAcentral.